Molecule: ribosomal RNA, 449 nt
Filed under: uncultured bacterium
Lineage: Bacteria
Description: partial 16S ribosomal RNA
Rfam family: Bacterial small subunit ribosomal RNA
Source: RNAcentral
AACGAACGCUGGCGGCAGGCUUAACACAUGCAAGUCGAGCGCAUCCUUCGGGGUGAGCGGCAGACGGGUGAGUAACGCGUGGGAACGUACCCUUUCCUACGGAAUAGCUCCGGGAAACUGGAAUUAAUACCAUAUACGCCCUUAGGGGGAAAGAUUUAUCGGGGAAGGAUCGGCCCGCGUUGGAUUAGCUAGUUGGUGGGGUAAAGGCCUACCAAGGCGACGAUCCAUAGCUGGUCUGAGAGGAUGAUCAGCCACAUUGGGACUGAGACACGGCCCAAACUCCUACGGGAGGCAGCAGUGGGGAAUAUUGGACAAUGGGCGUAAGCUUGAUCCAGCCAUGCCGCGUGAGUGAUGAAGGCCUUAGGGUUGUAAAGCUCAUUCAGUAGGGAAGAUAAUGACGGUACCUACAGAAGAAGCCCCGGCUAACUUCGUGCCAGCCGCCGCGGUAA